Molecule: ribosomal RNA, 266 nt
Filed under: uncultured bacterium
Lineage: Bacteria
Description: partial 16S ribosomal RNA
Rfam family: Bacterial small subunit ribosomal RNA
Source: RNAcentral
AGAGUUUGAUCAUGGCUCAGGACGAACGCUGGCGGCGUGCCUAACACAUGCAAGUCGAGCGGAGACAGUGAGUAGCUUGCUAUGAGCUGUUUUAGCGGUGGACGGGUGAGUAACGCGUGAGCAACCUUUCCCAGACAGGGGAAUAACACACCGAAAGGUGUACUAAUACCGCAUAAGACCACGGGAUCACAUGGUUCUGGGGUAAAAGAUUUUAUCGGGUUUUGGGGUGGGCUCGCGUCCGAUUAGGUAGUUGGUGAGGUAACCGG